This 256-nucleotide ribosomal RNA is filed under the name uncultured bacterium. RNAcentral describes it as "partial 16S ribosomal RNA". It matches the Rfam family "Bacterial small subunit ribosomal RNA", at positions 96 to 353 of the family's 1533-position model. The record is from RNAcentral.
UGGCGGACGGGUGAGUAAUGUCUGGGAAACUGCCUGAUGGAGGGGGAUAACUACUGGAAACGGUAGCUAAUACCGCAUAACGUCGCAAGACCAAAGAGGGGGACCUUCGGGCCUCCUGCCAUCGGAUGUGCCCAGAUGGGAUUAGCUUGUUGGUGGGGUAACGGCUCACCAAGGCGACGAUCCCUAGCUGGUCUGAGAGGAUGACCAGCCACACUGGAACUGAGACACGGUCCAGACUCCUACGGGAGGCAGCAUG